Molecule: long non-coding RNA, 914 nt
Filed under: Oreochromis niloticus (Nile tilapia)
Lineage: Eukaryota; Metazoa; Chordata; Actinopteri; Cichliformes; Cichlidae
Description: lncRNA (ENSONIG00000037620.1)
Source: RNAcentral
AUGUUUUUCUUUCCAGUACCAGAUUUAAAGGCCAUGGAUGUAAAGUUUACUGCCCUGGCUUACUGCCAUCUGGCCCUUUUGUUCAGUGUGGCCCAAACAGAAAAUGGGACUAACACUCCUCAACCAACCUUUAGCUUAACGACCCUUACGACACUAACUCAGUCUGACUCUACUUCACCAAUCUCAAAUUUGACUGAGGAGACAAUGCUAUAUACCAGCACACAGUUGGAUAACAAAACUGUCGCUAGCACCACUGCAGCUACAACCGAGAGGACAAGUCACCGCCAGACUUCUCAGUCAGCAACCACCUUGACUCAUCUAACAAACAGUAGAACUCUGAGGACUACAACCUCUAGCACUCAAAUGUCAACAUUUACUGCACAAACAACAGCAGGUAUCCAGACCACAGUAGAUAACUCAAGUACACCAAGUACUCCAGUAAUUACAACUGAAAAUGCAACUCAUGCUACCAUGAACAGAACCAGACAAGAUGUGGGCCUCAAUGUCUCUGAAAGGAAUAUGACUAUUGUCUUCAGCACUGUACUUGGAGCAUUUGCUGUGUUGUUGGUUUUUCUAAUGUUUCACAAAUGCAAACAGAAAAUACAAUACUUGCACCAACCUCUCAAUAAUGCAGAAUACACAGAUACAUUUGUGGCAGAUGAUGACACACUCGUUAUUUCUGGAGGACUUUAUGAUGGCCAUCCAAUCUACGAUAAUGUACCAACAGCUCCUGCAGACCAGUCUCAAUUCCACCUCGAGUUUCUCCAUUAAAGACACAGAGUUUCUAUAGUCUGAAAUCUGCAGUUUAGGAGUGGAUAAAACCAAUGUACUAAACCAAUGUAACCAAUAUACUUUCAAGACGGAAAUAUAACUCCUAUGAUGGUCUUUAUAAGAGAAAAGGGAAAUGAAAAUAG